AACGAACGCUGGCGGCAUGCCUAACACAUGCAAGUCGAACGAGACCUUCGGGUCUAGUGGCGCACGGGUGCGUAACGCGUGGGAACCUGCCCUUAGGUUCGGAAUAACUCCCCGAAAGGGGUGCUAAUACCGGAUAAUGUCUUCGGACCAAAGAUUUAUCGCCUUUGGAUGGGCCCGCGUUGGAUUUGCUAGUUGGUAGGGUAAAAGCCUACCAAGGUGACGAUCCAUAGCUGGUCUGAGAGGAUGAUCAGCCACACUGGGACUGAGACACGGCCCAGACUCCUACGGGAGGCAGCAGUGGGGAAUAUUGGACAAUGGGCGAAAGCCUGAUCCAGCAAUGCCGCGUGAGUGAUGAAGGCCUUAGGGUUGUAAAGCUCUUUUACCCGGGAUGAUAAUGACAGUACCGGGAGAAUAAGCUCCGGCUAACUCCGUG
Molecule: ribosomal RNA, 433 nt
Filed under: uncultured bacterium
Lineage: Bacteria
Description: partial 16S ribosomal RNA
Rfam family: Bacterial small subunit ribosomal RNA
Source: RNAcentral